Molecule: long non-coding RNA, 127 nt
Organism: Ipomoea nil (Japanese morning glory)
Lineage: Eukaryota; Viridiplantae; Streptophyta; Magnoliopsida; Solanales; Convolvulaceae
Exons: 3
Source: RefSeq, a predicted model, not a curated record
UCUAACGUUGUUGAUCCAGUUAUACUGUUGAUUCAGCUCUGCAGAGCUAAAUUCAUGGACAAUGGUGAAGUGCGCAUUUGCAGUUCAUUUGAUGCUACUCAACUGUUUUUCACACACUCAUGCAAAG